GACGGAAGGUGCAAGCGUUGCUCGGAAUCACUGGGCGUAAAGGGUGCGUAGGCGGGUAUAUAAGUCAGUGGUGAAAGCUCCGGGCUUAACUUGGAAACUGCCAUUGAUACUGUGUAUCUUGAAUGUCGUAGAGGUUAGCGGAAUGUUGCAUGUAGCGGUGAAAUGCUUAGAUAUGUUACAGAACACCAAUUGCGAAGGCAGCUAACUAUGCGAUAAUUGACGCUGAGGCACGAAAGCGUGGGGAGCAAACAGG
Molecule: ribosomal RNA, 253 nt
Filed under: uncultured bacterium
Lineage: Bacteria
Description: partial 16S ribosomal RNA
Rfam family: Bacterial small subunit ribosomal RNA
Source: RNAcentral